CGGCGCCGGAAGCACGGGUCUGGGCCCUCCCGCGGGGCGGGUACUCGUCUCCCGGCCGAGCGACUUCAGCUCGGGGACAUGCCCUAUGGCCGCUCCCCAGCAGGACAGGGUAACCGCCGGGGUGGGGGGGCUCCUUGUCCGUCCCAGCCCCCCAACUCAGGCCCUCUCGCUGCCCCUGGCGACCACCGCGUGCGCCCUUCCCCAGGGCCGGCGCAGUCCUGGACGCCUCCGCCGAGCGUGACUGCCUGCAUUUUCUCUCCUUUCCCUUCCCAACCUCCGGAGAGAAGACAAACCCAGAGCCGCUGUCUCCAUCCUCUGCUGAUGCCUGAUGUCUUUAUGUUGGCUUCGUAGUCCGCACUGCAGUGUGGCAGGGGCGUCCCUCGUUUCCCGCGGACUGAGGUGGGCGCCGGGCAUUCAGUAAACGAAGAAACGAAAGCGGAGAAGGUUGGGAAUCAAACGUCUGUCAUACCUGCCACUAGCAGACAAGCGGCUUUGGGUACCUCCUGGACCCAAACACGAACUCAGCCCCUCCAGGAGUGCAGUCAUUGGCACCCACGUGGGAACAAUGCCGGGAUGAGUGGCCACCGGAUGUUUCCAGGGCCGUCAGAGGCCGAGCAGCGCAGGUCUUGGAGAAUGAAUGUGGGUCACUGGGCCGCGCUGCAGAGGGCCGGUCCUGAGUCGCUGCCUGGAGGAGAGGCCCAUGGCCAGCACUUGGCUUCACCUGGAGGAAGAAGCACGUGCUAAACCACCAGCAUUCAGGGUUUGUCUGUUUGAUAAAAGAUGCUGGCCUUGACACACCAACUGACAAGAAAGUCUUUCAUAGGUCGGAGCUGCUAGGUUGUGCCCCUGGCCCCUCCUGAAAAUUAGCCACACGAAAGGAAGGGUCUGGAAGGUGGCAGAGAAGCCAGCAGAGACGACUGCCACUCCGACAGGGAGCCCUGCCCCGUGCCCUGCUGAUGUUGACACUGACGCUGGCUCUAUUAUUUCACUUUUUCCUUGUAAUUUCUUAAAAUCUAGCAACAAGUUGAGCAAUGAAAAAAAGUACAGAAAAAGUUAAAAUUAUGUUAGAAAUUAUGACUGUAAAGAAAUUUUGAAACUAAAGAAAAAAAAUUGCCAAAAUUGCCAAAGCUUUUAGGACUCUUCAAAAUAUAGUAACAUUGAGUAUUAUGAACUAAAGACUCAUACUAUUAUAUCAAUGUCUGGUAGUGAAUUUGGAUGGAGGACUGUCUAGUAACUUCUUAACAAAACAUUGAUUAAAAGUCUUUCUCGGUGGGGCGCCCUGGCUCACGCCUGUAAUCCCAGCACUUUGGGAGCCAGAGGCAGGUGGAUCACGAGGUCAGGAGAUCGAGACCAUCCUGGCUAACAUGGUGAAACCCCGUCUCUACUAAAAAAAAUACAAAAAAACUAGCCAGGCAUGGUGGUGGGCCCCUGUAGUCCCAGCUACUCGGGAGGCUGAGGCAGGAGAAUGGCGUGAACCCGGGAGGCGGAGCUUGCAGUGAGCCAAGAUCGUGCCACUGUACUGCAGCCUGGGCAACAGAGUGAGGCUCCAUCUC
RNAcentral lists this non-coding RNA (1553 nucleotides) under Pongo abelii (Sumatran orangutan). The record is from RNAcentral. Lineage: Eukaryota; Metazoa; Chordata; Mammalia; Primates; Hominidae.